GGGUACACACGCGAAGUUUCGGGCUUCGGCUCGACUCUCCCACCCUUUUGUGAACGUACCUCUGCUUGCUUUGGCGGCUCCGGCCGCCAAAGGACCUCCAAACUCCAGUCAGUAAACGCAGACGUCUGAUAAACAAGUUAAUAAACUAAAACUUUCAACAACGGAUCUCUUGGUUCUGGCAUCGAUGAAGAACGCAGCA
RNAcentral lists this ribosomal RNA (199 nucleotides) under uncultured Ascomycota. RNAcentral describes it as "partial 18S ribosomal RNA". The stretch from base 150 to 199 matches the Rfam family "5.8S ribosomal RNA", at positions 1 to 50 of the family's 154-position model. The record is from RNAcentral. Lineage: Eukaryota; Fungi; Ascomycota.